Molecule: ribosomal RNA, 601 nt
Filed under: uncultured Pseudozyma
Lineage: Eukaryota; Fungi; Basidiomycota; Ustilaginomycetes; Ustilaginales; Ustilaginaceae
Description: LSU rRNA
Rfam family: Eukaryotic large subunit ribosomal RNA
Source: RNAcentral
UACGGCGAGUGAGAGGGAAGAGCCCAAGAUUGAAAGCUGGCGUCUUCGGCGUCCGCAUUGUAAUCUCAAGAAGUGUUUUCCGCUUCGGACCAUGCCUAAGUCCCUUGGAAAAGGGCAUCAUAGAGGGUGAUAAUCCCGUACAUGGCAUGGAGCGCCCGAAGCUUUGUGAUACGCUUUCUAAGAGUCGAGUUGUUUGGGAAUGCAGCUCAAAAUGGGUGGUAAAUGCCAUCUAAGGCUAAAUAUUGGGGAGAGACCGAUAGCGAACAAGUACAGUGAUGGAAAGAUGAAAAGAACUUUGAAAAGAGAGUUAAGCAGUACGUGAAAUUGCCAAAAGGGAAGGGUAGGAGGUCAGAGAUGCGGCCUGGGAUUCAGCCUUGCUUUUGCUUGGUGUUUUUCCCAGAUUGCAGGCCAACGUCGGUUUUGGGCACUGGAGAAGGGUAGGAGGAACGUGGCACCUCUCGGGGUGUGUUAUAGCCUCCUACUGGAUACAGCGACCGAGACCGAGGAACGCAGCGUACUCGUAAGAGCGGGCCUUUUGGCACCUUUACGCUUAGGGCGUUGGCAUAAUGGCCCUCUACCACCCGUCUUGAACCACGGACCA